CAACUUUCAGCAGUGGAUGUCUAGGCUCGCACAUCGAUGAAGAACGCCGCGAACUGCGAUACGUAAUGCGAAUUGCAGGAUUCAGUGAGUCAUCGAAAUUUUGAACGCAUAUUGCACUUUCGGGUUAUGCCUGGAAGUAUGCCUGUAUCAGUGUCCGUA
Molecule: ribosomal RNA, 159 nt
Filed under: Pythium insidiosum
Lineage: Eukaryota; Oomycota; Peronosporomycetes; Pythiales; Pythiaceae
Description: 5.8S ribosomal RNA
Rfam family: 5.8S ribosomal RNA
About the family: 5.8S ribosomal RNA (5.8S rRNA) is a component of the large subunit of the eukaryotic ribosome. It is transcribed by RNA polymerase I as part of the 45S precursor that also contains 18S and 28S rRNA.
Source: RNAcentral